This 1280-nucleotide ribosomal RNA is filed under the name Salmonella enterica subsp. enterica serovar Typhimurium. Its description in RNAcentral is "partial 23S ribosomal RNA". It matches the Rfam family "Bacterial large subunit ribosomal RNA", at positions 1 to 1211 of the family's 2925-position model. The record is from RNAcentral. Lineage: Bacteria; Pseudomonadati; Pseudomonadota; Gammaproteobacteria; Enterobacterales; Enterobacteriaceae.
GGGUUGUGAGGUUAAGCGACUAAGCGUACACGGUGGAUGCCCUGGCAGUCAGAGGCGAUGAAGGACGUGCUAAUCUGCGAUAAGCGCCGGUAAGGUGAUAUGAACCGUUAUAACCGGCGAUUUCCGAAUGGGGAAACCCAGUGUGAUUCGUCACACUAUCAUUAACUGAAUCCAUAGGUUAAUGAGGCGAACCGGGGGAACUGAAACAUCUAAGUACCCCGAGGAAAAGAAAUCAACCGAGAUUCCCCCAGUAGCGGCGAGCGAACGGGGAGGAGCCCAGAGCCUGAAUCAGCAUGUGUGUUAGUGGAAGCGUCUGGAAAGGCGCGCGAUACAGGGUGACAGCCCCGUACACAAAAGCGCAUGUGCUGUGAGCUCGAUGAGUAGGGCGGGACACGUGGUAUCCUGUCUGAAUAUGGGGGGACCAUCCUCCAAGGCUAAAUACUCCUGACUGACCGAUAGUGAACCAGUACCGUGAGGGAAAGGCGAAAAGAACCCCGGCGAGGGGAGUGAAAAAGAACCUGAAACCGUGUACGUACAAGCAGUGGGAGCCCCACCACCAAAGCAUUCUCUGGUGUUGAAGGCCCUGCAAAGCAGCAUCGCGGUGGCGGAGCGUCGUUUGCGACGCCCAACACACAAAACAAGCGGUGAAUGCUUUGGGGUGGGGUGACUGCGUACCUUUUGUAUAAUGGGUCAGCGACUUAUAUUCUGUAGCAAGGUUAACCGUAUAGGGGAGCCGGAGGGAAACCGAGUCUUAAUUGGGCGUUAAGUUGCAGGGUAUAGACCCGAAACCCGGUGAUCUAGCCAUGGGCAGGUUGAAGGUUGGGUAACACUAACUGGAGGACCGAACCGACUAAUGUUGAAAAAUUAGCGGAUGACCUGUGGCUGGGGGUGAAAGGCCAAUCAAACCGGGAGAUAGCUGGUUCUCCCCGAAAGCUAUUUAGGUAGCGCCUCGUGAAUUCAUCUCCGGGGGUAGAGCACUGUUUCGGCUAGGGGGCCAUCCCGGCUUACCAACCCGAUGCAAACUGCGAAUACCGGAGAAUGUUAUCACGGGAGACACACGGCGGGUGCUAACGUCCGUCGUGAAGAGGGAAACAACCCAGACCGCCAGCUAAGGUCCCAAAGUCAUGGUUAAGUGGGAAACGAUGUGGGAAGGCCCAGACAGCCAGGAUGUUGGCUUAGAAGCAGCCAUCAUUUAAAGAAAGCGUAAUAGCUCACUGGUCGAGUCGGCCUGCGCGGAAGAUGUAACGGGGCUAAACCAUGCACCGAAGCUGCGGCAGCGA